CCUACGGGAGGCAGCAGUGGGGAAUUUUCCGCAAUGGGCGCAAGCCUGACGGAGCAAGACCGCGUGAGGGAGGAAGGCUCUUGGGUUGUAAACCUCUUUUAUCAGGGAAGAAGAUCUGACGGUACCUGAUGAAUCAGCAUCGGCUAACUCCGUGCCAGCAGCCGCGGUAAUACGGAGGAUGCAAGCGUUAUCCGGAUUUAUUGGGCGUAAAGCGUCCGCAGGUGGUUUUUCAAGUCUGCUGUUAAAGCGCAGAGCUUAACUCUGUAACGGCGGUGGAAACUGAGAGACUAGAGUAUGGUAGGGGUAGCGGGAAUUCCCAGUGUAGCGGUGAAAUGCGUAGAUAUUGGGAAGAACACCAGCGGCGAAAGCGCGCUACUGGGCCAUAACUGACACUCAUGGACGAAAGCUAGGGGAGCGAAAGGGAUUAGAUACCCCUGUAGUCCUAGCUGUAAACGAUGGGUACUAGGUGUUGACCGUAUCGACCCGGUCAGUGCCGUAGCUAACGCGUUAAGUACCCCGCCUGGGGAGUAUGCACGCAAGUGUGAAACUCAAAUGAAUUGACGG
RNAcentral lists this ribosomal RNA (564 nucleotides) under uncultured bacterium. RNAcentral describes it as "bacterial SSU rRNA". It matches the Rfam family "Bacterial small subunit ribosomal RNA", at positions 338 to 916 of the family's 1533-position model. The record is from RNAcentral.